This is a long non-coding RNA of Phyllostomus discolor (pale spear-nosed bat), 2632 nucleotides long. RefSeq lists it as uncharacterized. The record is from RefSeq and is a predicted model, not a curated record. NCBI's taxonomy places the organism in Eukaryota, Metazoa, Chordata, Mammalia, Chiroptera, Phyllostomidae. The transcript has 2 exons.
GAGAAGAAGUCAUGGAAAAGAAAAACCAAGGUGUAUAAAAUUAUUCGCAAAUCUUUCUGAAAUCUCUACUUAUAAAUGAGCCAUCAUAUGAAGGGGCUCUUGGGAUGCGUUCAGCAGAGUACACCACUUGAAGGCAGAAGCUAUUCCAUCAUACACAGUCAUUCAUCUGUUGCUCAUACAGUAAUUUAUGUCAGCAUAUUUAAUUAAGCCAUUUUUCACUAGAGUUCUCUUCAUAUUCUAUAGUAGAUACUUACCAAGCAUUUGUUGAUUGCUUAGUUGGUUCAUUGAAUGGAUGGAUGGAUGCUUAGAGAAAUUAGAAAUAAAAAUGCAAAUGUAAAUGUGUUAUUCACUGAAGUAGAAAGAGAAAAAGGCUUGCCAACUCAAGUACUGUCAAAAUUUGAUAACAGAAAAUGACAGUAGUAAAUGCCAGACUUCGUAUGCCAUUUACUUGCCAUUUCUAAAAAUUCAUAAAACUCUCAUCUUUCCAUUUCUGUACUAUGGCAGGUAGAAUAGCAAUGUCCCAAAGAUGUCCAUAUCUGAAUUUCCUGAAUCUGUGAGUAUGUCACUUCACAUGGCAAAGGGGAAUUGAAGAACAGGUGGAAUAAAGGCUGCUAAUUAGCUGAUCUUAAAAUAGGAAGAUUGUCCAGGUGGGCCCAAUCCAAUCACAAGGGCUUGGCAGGUAUUGAAAAGGAGGGCAAAAAAAAGAGUGCUGGAGCGAUAUGUGAGACAUACUGGACCAGCCAUCGCUAGCUUUGGAAGCAGAAAAGGCCACAAGUCAAGGAAUACCAGCAGCCUCUAGAAGCUGGAAAAGGUAAAAACUGCAUUCUCUCUAAGAUCUUCCAGAAAGGAACACAACCCUGCCAACUCCACUGAGAUUCAUUGUGGACUUCUGACCUCUACAACUGUCAGGAAACUGAAACGUCAGCUCCUGGGAUCCCCCACAUGGACCCACCAUGAAGGAUGCCCAUCUGUAACUUGCUCACCCUCUUUAAGUGUUGGGAAGAAAGAAAAUGCAUUCCUUGACCUCUACAGUGAGGAAGGCAGCCAAUUCCUCAGAAAAGAUCUGAGGUAAACUCAUGAGGAACUGAUGCAGGUUAUCAAAGCCUCCUUUCCUUCAGAGUCAGAAUUAGAUAAUAACACUUCACAGCAUGUUAUUAAUGAGCCAGACAUAAUUAAUUGCCACUAGAAAAAAUAUGUCAAAAGAAUUUGCAGCAUAUAUAAAUUAUCUCUGGCCUUUCACCUGCCCAUGGUCCUGCUUCUUGUCACUGACAUGGCUUCUGGGAGAUGACAACAAACUUGUCAGAAACGCUACAUGAAGGGAUUAAAGGAGGAAGAAGACCUGUGAUUUUUAGUUUCAGAAAAACUAUACCAUUUGCUAGAACUACAAAAAUAAAAGUCUACUUGUGUAUGGUAAGCUGAAUGAGAUAUAUAUACAAAAUGCAAAUGAAUUUCCACUCUAUUUUGCAGGAAAUGAUGUGAAUUCACUGGCUAAAGUGGCAGUCAUCUAAUGCUUGUUAUUUCAAUAAAAUUAGAUAUUAAAUUUUGCUUUAAAAUUGAAGAAAAAUACCCAUGAUUUUGCCAGCAGCUUCUCUAAUGUUUUUUUAAUUCAUAUUUAGAUGAAACAAAUUCAUAUCAUGCAGGAAACUUUUAAAAUCCUCAAAUAUAAAUUUUGUCUGAGUGAAGGAAAGGCUUAAUUUUUAUUAAUUUAACUAUGCCAUUCUGUGAAAAAUUAGGAUGGUUAAUCAUUCAAUGAAAUAUCUGACCUAUUACUUCAUAUGUUGAAAUACAAGUUCUAUAAUGACUGCCUAUAUAAACAGGUAAGGAGAUACAUGUUUUAAAAUCUGUGGGCCCUAGAUAGUUGUAUGUAUGGGGUAUUCAGUUAAAUAUGCUGAUUUUGACUAAAAUUUUAAAUAUAAGUGAGAAUUCUCUUACAGAAAUUCAACUUAACCAGACUAUAUAAAUGAGAAAAACCAAAAAGGGUAUAGUCCAGAAACACAAGAGGCAAGAAAGGGAAAAUUAGACCAGUUAAUUAGUCUCUAAGGCAGUUUUUCUACCCAAAGACAAAUAUUUGAAUACUCUACUACAUUGCUUCCCCUUGUCAAGUUUCAGAAACAAAAAAUCAUGCAUGUCCUGAUAACUCCUUAGAUGAAUCUCCCUUCGGUGCUUAACAAAGCAAACAGAAGAAAUGAUGCAAAGGGCAAAUAUAUAGGCCAACUUUUACUUGCUACAUUAAUAUAUAACAAGCUACUUGAAAGAUAAUGGUGCAUUUUAUGGAAUAAUCAAUUCAGCAUGGCUAAUGUGUCUUAAUAUUUAAAAUGUAUAUGAAAUUAGCCACUACCUUCUGUUUCCGGAUAAUAUUUAUAUUUGUAAAAGAAGCAAAAUGACUGUCAGUUUGAAUUAUUAGGUAUGAACUCUCCAGAUUAAGAAAUGUUGAUUAGCAGUACAAAUACUCAAAUGGAAAAGAUGAGCAAAAUUCAUAGAAUGAAAACCUAAUUUCAAGAAUAUUAGUAUAAUAUUUAUUAGUAUAAAUGUCUAUCUCAGAGGUGAACAAAUAUUUAGCCUUUUGCUAUCUUGAGAUAUUGCUUAAUCAAAUUAGAAAAAAAUAUGUCUGUCUCCUCUGCGCUGUAAAACA